GGUUGUGAUUGAAUUGGUCAAGCGAUUUACAGAAGGCAUUGGUUGCCGCUACUGCUAGGCCAGUGUUCUGUUUCUCCGAAUAAUUGUUUUGUCUUUACCAAAUUACUGUUAAGAUAUAGUUUAAAUGAAAAGUGCUAAUCUGGUUCUAGAAAUUUUUGUGAACUGAUAAAUACUGAAAUUUGUUUGUCCCUUAAUACAGAAGUCUGAACUCUAAAGUUUAACCAAUUCUGGCUAUUCGUUUCCUACUUGUGAAGUAGAUUUUUUAUCACCUACGCAUCUCAUGGCAUUCAAGAGUUUCCAUUGACUUGACUUGGCAUGUCACAUCUGGUUACCGGUGUUUACACUCCAUUGGUGUUUCCGUGAAAGCAGGGGCACAAGGACUCGACCCAUUGGUUGACUGGAAUAUUGGAAAUAGUUGGAGUAACUGUCAACAUGGCUGUGGUGCUUCUGGCAAAAAACACGGCUACGGUAAGGGGGACACUGACCACUCAAUUUAGAAAUUAUAUGUGCCUCUCUAGCAAGUAUUUUUAAACAUGGCUACGGAAAGAGAAACUGGGUAUCCCAAGGUUCGCGUUUCUCUGGCCAGUAUUUUUUUGAAUUUUUUGGAGAAGGGAUUUAAUUUAAGUAAUUAAAUUACUCGUAUAUUUUAAUAAAUUAUUCAGAUUUAUGGUUACCCAGAUUUCAUUUGAUUUUGUGGCUAGCCUCUCUAGCUGUAGGCCCACCGCAUCUUCUGGAUGGCUAUGGGUGAGAGCAUCCAAGCUGUGGAUUUGUCUCAAGGAAAUUUGCGAAAGAUCGGAGAUCACAUCG
RNAcentral lists this long non-coding RNA (807 nucleotides) under Triticum aestivum (bread wheat). Its description in RNAcentral is "long non-coding RNA (TAES_LNC023539)". Lineage: Eukaryota; Viridiplantae; Streptophyta; Magnoliopsida; Poales; Poaceae. The record is from RNAcentral.